GUCUAUGGCCAUGCUAUCCUGAACGUGUCCGAUCUCAUCUGAUCUCGGAAGCUAAGCAGGGUGGACCUGGUUUAGUACUUGGAUGGGAAACCACCUGGGAAGAUCAGGUGGUGUAGGCG
RNAcentral lists this ribosomal RNA (119 nucleotides) under Pteropus alecto (black flying fox). The record is from RNAcentral. Lineage: Eukaryota; Metazoa; Chordata; Mammalia; Chiroptera; Pteropodidae.